CCUACGGGAGGCAGCAGUGGGGAAUAUUGCACAAUGGGGGAAACCCUGAUGCAGCGACGCCGCGUGAGUGAAGAAGUAAUUCGUUAUGUAAAGCUCUAUCAGCAGGGAAGAAAAUGACGGUACCUGCGUAAGCAGCCCCGGCUAACUACGUGCCAGCCGCCGCGGUAAUACGUAGGGGGCAAGCGUUAUCCGGAUUUACUGGGUGUAGGGGGAGCGUAGACGGCAGUGCAAGUCUGGUGUGAAAGGCGGGGGCUCAACCCCCGGACUGCUCUGGAAACUGUACGGCUGGAUUGCAGGAGAGGAAAGUGGAAUUCCUAGUGUAGCGGUGAAAUGCGUAGAUAUUAGGAGGAACACCAGUGGCGAAGGCGGCUUACUGGACUGUAACUGACGUUGAGGCUCGAAAGCGUAGGGAGCAAACAGGAUUAGAUACCCCAGUAGUC
Molecule: ribosomal RNA, 440 nt
Filed under: uncultured bacterium
Lineage: Bacteria
Description: partial 16S ribosomal RNA
Rfam family: Bacterial small subunit ribosomal RNA
Source: RNAcentral